CCCAACUGUGUAUCCGGAUAUGGUUGGCUUGGAGAUCGAGUCGGGGUUUGUUGAAACUCCUUUUUUUUAUAUAUAUAUAUACGCCGUUUCUCAUCGCCCACAAAACAACAACGCAAGGCCCCGAUCCCCUUUUCAGAAGCAUGGCUUCAUUGCUGUUCAGAUCCGCCGCAGGCAGCGCUCUCCGGCGAUCGAUCCCGCAAGGGUCCUUCCCCGUGCUCCGGCCAUCGAUCCCGCAGGGGUCCUUCUCUCGGAGCCCAGGGCGGUCCCUCUGCGAUGGCGCUGGGAGGAUCGAACCUAAUGCGCAUUCUAGCGCAAAACCCAACAUGGGACACUCCAACAGAUUCGAGGAUGAAACAGAAUUCUGCACUCAUGGUCAAACGGAAUUUAAAGAGUUGGCUUCCAACAUACGCGCCAUGCGGGACAAAGUGCGACUCUUGGAAAAAACAUAUGAAGAAUCGGAAAGAUCGGACAAGCGUAGAAAAGUGCUGGUACUGUGUUCCACAACUGCUCUCCUCGUUACCUUUUUUGUAUUUGGUUGAGAGAACAUGUCUUUUUGAAGUUUCGAUGAAAGACCGAUAUUCUAAGUUUCCAUGGGAAUUAUCUGUUGUGAAAAAAGGUUGUAGGAAGCUCAUGUAAGAUGGAACAAUGAUACAAGACGUGCGAAUUAGUUGGACCCAGCAGCCAACGGUAGCAGCCCGGAAAUGUCAGCAAAAGCGUUUUAGUUGGCUCUAACCGUGUCUUAAUAUACUUUGACUCGAAACCAUGUUGAUUUGGAUACAUAGUGUUCACGAAUCG
This 795-nucleotide ribosomal RNA is filed under the name Triticum aestivum (bread wheat). RNAcentral's name for it is "partial small subunit ribosomal RNA". The record is from RNAcentral. Lineage: Eukaryota; Viridiplantae; Streptophyta; Magnoliopsida; Poales; Poaceae.